RNAcentral lists this ribosomal RNA (466 nucleotides) under uncultured bacterium. RNAcentral describes it as "bacterial SSU rRNA". It matches the Rfam family "Bacterial small subunit ribosomal RNA", at positions 330 to 793 of the family's 1533-position model. The record is from RNAcentral.
UCCAGACUCCUACGGGAGGCAGCAGUGAGGAAUAUUGGUCAAUGGCCGAGAGGCUGAACCAGCCAAGUCGCGUGAGGGAAGACGGCCCUAUGGGUUGUAAACCUCUUUUGUCAGGGAGCAACGCCGGCUACGUGUAGCCGGACUGAGAGUACCUGAAGAAAAAGCAUCGGCUAACUCCGUACCAGCAGCCGCGGUAAUACGGAGGAUGCGAGCGUUAUCCGGAUUUAUUGGGUUUAAAGGGUGCGUAGGCGGAAUGCCAAGUCAGCGGUAAAAUCGCGGGGCUCAACCUCGCUCCGCCGUUGAAACUGGCGCUCUUGAGUGGGCGAGAAGUAUGCGGAAUGCGUGGCGUAGCGGUGAAAUGCAUAGAUAUCACGCAGAACUCCGAUUGCGAAGGCAGCAUACCGGCGCCCAACUGACGCUGAAGCACGAAAGCGUGGGUAUCGAACAGGAUUAGAUACCCUAGUAU